This 492-nucleotide unclassified non-coding RNA is filed under the name Hevea brasiliensis (rubber tree). Lineage: Eukaryota; Viridiplantae; Streptophyta; Magnoliopsida; Malpighiales; Euphorbiaceae. The record is from RNAcentral.
AAACAAAAAAUGGCGAAAACAAGAGUUAGCUUUAUGAGUUUUCUUGUUUUAGCAAUGGUUGUCGUUUUAUUUCCAUCCCAAAUUAAGGCACUAAUGCCAUACACACGCCCCUUUUGGGACAUAGCAUUUCCUCCCGAAGAUCCUUUCAGAAUUCUUGAACAAACCCCAUUGACUAUCCCAAAAGGGGUUGAAUCAAUCGCUUUAACUCGAUCAGAUUGGAAGGAAACAGCAACAGAGCAUGUAAUUACACUUGACAUUCCAGGGAUGAAGAAGGAAGACGUUAAAAUUGAGGUGGAAGAAAACAGAGUGUUGAGAGUCAGUGGAGAAAGGAAAACAGAGGAAGAAAUUGAAGGGGAGAAAUGGCACAGAGCUGAAAGAACUUGUGGGAAAUUCUGGAGACAGUUUAGAUUACCUGGAAAUGCUGAUUUGGAACACAUUAAGGCACAUUUGGAAAAUGGUGUUCUGAAAAUUACUGUACCAAAAUUGGCUGAA